RNAcentral lists this transfer RNA (72 nucleotides) under Marmota monax (woodchuck). It matches the Rfam family "tRNA". From Rfam's summary of the family: Transfer RNA (tRNA) molecules are approximately 80 nucleotides in length. Lineage: Eukaryota; Metazoa; Chordata; Mammalia; Rodentia; Sciuridae. The record is from Rfam by way of RNAcentral.
GGGGUUGUGGCUCAGUGGUAGAGCACUUGCCUAGUGCGUGUGAGGCACUGAGUUUGAUCCCCAGCAACCACA